RNAcentral lists this ribosomal RNA (427 nucleotides) under uncultured archaeon. Its description in RNAcentral is "bacterial SSU rRNA". It matches the Rfam family "Archaeal small subunit ribosomal RNA", at positions 474 to 903 of the family's 1478-position model. The record is from RNAcentral.
UGCCAGCUCUCCGAGUGGUAGGGAUGAUUAUUGGGCUUAAAGCGUCCGUAGCCGGCUUAGCAAGUUUCCUGUUAAAUUCAGCGACCUAAUCGUUGAGCCGCGGGAAAUACUACUAGGCUAGGAGGCGGGAGAGGUCAACGGUACUACCGGGGUAGGGGUGAAAUCCUAUAAUCCCGGGAGGACCACCAGUGGCGAAAGCUGUUGACUAGAACGCGCUCGACGGUGAGGGACGAAAGCUGGGGGAGCGAACCGGAUUAGAUACCCGGGUAGUCCCAGCUGUAAACGAUGCGAGCUAGGUGUUGGGAUGGCUACGUGCCAUUUCAGUGCCGCAGGGAAGCCAUUAAGCUCGCCGCCUGGGGAGUACGGCCGCAAGGCUGAAACUUAAGGAAUUGGCGGGGAGCACCACAAGGCGUGAAGCUUGCGGUUC